This 441-nucleotide ribosomal RNA is filed under the name Triticum aestivum (bread wheat). RNAcentral's name for it is "partial small subunit ribosomal RNA". The record is from RNAcentral. Lineage: Eukaryota; Viridiplantae; Streptophyta; Magnoliopsida; Poales; Poaceae.
AUGAGGGCCCUUUUCUGGAACCUCCGCGGCUUCGGCCAUGACGGCCGUCGCCGCCAGCUCGUCGAGUACAUCCGGGAUGAGCAUAUUGACAUUGUAGCCAUCCAGGAAACCCUUCGAUCCGAGUUCACCCUUCAAGAGCUUGAGCAUCUGAGCCCCCACCUCUUCGCGUGGCACUGGCUCCCUUCUAGUGGGACUUCAGGCCACUCGGGUGGCAUCCUCCUUGGGGUAAAGGACACCACUUUUGAGGUGGGUGGCAUGGACCGAGGGGAGUUCUUCGUUAGUAUGGAGAUCUUUGAGCGGGCUCUGAACUUCAAGUGGGAGGUCAUUGUUGUCUACGGACCGGCGGAUCACCGCCGAUCCCCGGCCUUCCUCGCCGAGGUUCAGCUGAAGAUCUCCAACUCCACGCUCCCGGUGUUAGUGGGGGGUGACUUCAAUCUCAUC